Molecule: ribosomal RNA, 503 nt
Filed under: uncultured bacterium
Lineage: Bacteria
Description: partial 16S ribosomal RNA
Rfam family: Bacterial small subunit ribosomal RNA
Source: RNAcentral
GACGAACGCUGGCGGCGUGCUUAACACAUGCAAGUCGAACGUUGAAGCGCUUUCCUUUUUGGUUGGUGUGGAUGAGUGGCUAACGGGUGAGUAACACGUGAUUAACCUUCCCCCUUCUUCUGGAUAACCGCAUGAAAGUUUGGCUAAUACGGGAUAUUCUGCGCCUGCUUCUUGGUGGGUGUGGGAAAGAUUGUGCCUUUGGGUGUUUUCGCUGGGGGAUGGGCUCGCGGCCUAUCAGCUUGUUGGUGGGGUGAUGGCCUACCAAGGCGGUGACGGGUAGCCGGCCUGAGAGGGUGGAGGGUCACGUUGCGACUGAGACACGGACAAGACUACUACGGGAGGCAGCAGUGGGGAAUAUUGCACAAUGGGAGCAAGCCUGAUGCAGCGACGCCGCGUGAGGGAUGGAGGCCUUCGGGUUGUGAACCUCUUUCGCCAGUGAAGAAGGACUGCUCCAUGUGGGUGGGUUGACGGUAGCUGGACAAGAAGCGCCGGCUAACUACGUG